RNAcentral lists this transfer RNA (65 nucleotides) under Microvirga sp. KLBC 81. RNAcentral's name for it is "tRNA-Ser". Lineage: Bacteria; Pseudomonadati; Pseudomonadota; Alphaproteobacteria; Hyphomicrobiales; Methylobacteriaceae. The record is from RNAcentral.
GGGAAUGGGUUUAUGCCUGACUUUUAAUCAGAGGGUCCUGGGUUCGAGUCCCAGCGCGCUCACCA